RNAcentral lists this ribosomal RNA (1018 nucleotides) under uncultured bacterium. Its description in RNAcentral is "bacterial SSU rRNA". It matches the Rfam family "Bacterial small subunit ribosomal RNA", at positions 355 to 1375 of the family's 1533-position model. The record is from RNAcentral.
UGAGGAAUAUUGGUCAAUGGGCGGGAGCCUGAACCAGCCAAGUAGCGUGAAGGACGACGGCCCUACGGGUUGUAAACUUCUUUUAUAAGGGAAUAAAGUUCGCCACGUGUGGUGUUUUGUAUGUACCUUAUGAAUAAGCAUCGGCUAAUUCCGUGCCAGCAACCGCGGUAAUACGGAAGAUGCGAGCGUUAUCCGGAUUUAUUGGGUUUAAAGGGAGCGUAGGCGGGCUUUUAAGUCAGCGGUCAAAUGUCGUGGCUCAACCAUGUCAAGCCGUUGAAACUGUAAGCCUUGAGUCUGCACAGGGCACAUGGAAUUCGUGGUGUAGCGGUGAAAUGCUUAGAUAUCACGAAGAACUCCGAUCGCGAAGGCAUUGUGCCGGGGCAUAACUGACGCUGAGGCUCGAAAGUGCGGGUAUCAAACAGGAUUAGAUACCCUGGUAGUCCGCACGGUAAACGAUGAAUGCUCGCUAUGGGCGAUAUAUUGUCCGUGGCCAAGCGAAAGCGUUAAGCAUUCCACCUGGGGAGUACGCCGGCAACGGUGAAACUCAAAGGAAUUGACGGGGGCCCGCACAAGCGGAGGAACAUGUGGUUUAAUUCGAUGAUACGCGAGGAACCUUACCCGGGCUUGAAUUGCAGGUGCAUGAGUCAGAGAUGAUUCUUUCCUUCGGGACUCCUGUGAAGGUGCUGCAUGGUUGUCGUCAGCUCGUGCCGUGAGGUGUCGGCUUAAGUGCCAUAACGAGCGCAACCCUUCUCCCCAGUUGCCAUCGGGUAAUGCCGGGCCCUCUGGGGACACUGCCAUCGUAAGAUGCGAGGAAGGUGGGGAUGACGUCAAAUCAGCACGGCCCUUACGUCCGGGGCCACACACGUGUUACAAUGGGGGGUACAGAGGGCCGCUGUCCGGUGACGGUCGGCCAAUCCCUAAAACCCCUCUCAGUUCGGACUGGAGUCUGCAACCCGACUCCACGAAGCUGGAUUCGCUAGUAAUCGCGCAUCAGCCAUGGCGCGGUGAAUACGUUCCC